GGGGGGUGCUCCGGGGGCGCAGGCGGCGGCCACCCCUGUCCCGUCGUAGCUGCGGCGAGGCGCGGGUUGCACAAAUGGCAGUGCCUUCCAGAAACAAGACUCGGAUGAAACUCUUCUUCUGGAAUUUAGCUGAAGAAAAACACCUUAGAACACUCGACCUUUUGCUUCACUUUUUUUUUUUUUCCUAAGUUUCCAAAGAAAUGCAAGCUUCCCUUCUUCUCUAGGAAGAGGUAGCCAUUGCUCUUCUUUACACUAGACAUUUCUAAUUUGUUCCGUCUGUCAAAAUGGGACUAUGAGAGGGUUUUGGUGCAAAUUCAUUAUCUCUGGCAACAUACAACCUAUAAUAGGAACUGAAAAAGACCGUGGCAAUGGAUGAACAAUAGGGCUUCAGUUCAUCAGCAACAAAAGCGUUGGGGAAAUUGCUUGAAUUUCAGAGCACGUCCUCCUCAGCAGAGAGGGCUGGACUAGACCUUGGCCAACUCCCCCAAAAAACUUGCAGAGCCUCACAUACAACAGUUCACUUUCUACUCCGGGGCAUAGGAAGCAUUGCAGAAAAAAAGAAAAAAUAUAAGGCAAACCCAAGCCAACUUUCUGUGUUUCUCUCCCAUUUUUCUGGAUGGAACAUUUCUAACUCUUUUAGAGUCCUUGGAACAAGAAUAAUACUGUGGAGCUAAGCAGCACUUUUAAAUAGGGAUGGCAAGGGGAAAGACGUGAAUUUAUGGAAAAUUGGGAGAGCUUUCUCUGCUCUGAGGGGCCUUGGCCGUGGGGAUCUUUGUUUGUCAUCGUUGGCUCAGCUUUCCCCCUAGAUCUGGGGUCACAUCUUUCCCUGAUAAAGGCGAAGAAAUACCGGGGGCAGCAGCAGCCGGCAAGACCGCGUCUUCUUCUCCCCAGCUCUGGGAGCCCCGAGAAAGCGAGGAUCUUCCCCCUCUAAAAUACACACUGCACGCCAGAUAUUUGCAAUCAAGCUGCCACCAUUUGGCAAAGAGAUCUAUACCGUACAUAAUCUAAAGGGAUCAAGAGACGCAUCCUCGAAUCAUCUUGUUACUUUCUACUAAAUGGAAUUUUUUUCUUCUUCUUGCUCCUUACACUGCGCUGGAAAUUGCCGAUGGCUUUGCAUCUUUAUAGAGGCUAAAGAGUCGUUCGUGAGAACGAAGCGAUUUACAAUGCAAAUAGAGGCCUGUUAAAGGAUGGAUGCUCCUCUCUCUUAACGCAGCUUGAAGCACCUUAAUGACUGGUUUUAUUUUCUGGUAUUAACAGAUGAAUCGUUGGCUAUCCCUGCCGGAAAUUACUGGCUGAAAAAAAAAGUUCGGAAUAAACUUCGAAGGCAACAGAUUUCUCUUGGAUGU
Molecule: long non-coding RNA, 1346 nt
Filed under: Lepidothrix coronata (blue-crowned manakin)
Lineage: Eukaryota; Metazoa; Chordata; Aves; Passeriformes; Pipridae
Description: lncRNA (ENSLCOG00000006440.1)
Source: RNAcentral